This 756-nucleotide ribosomal RNA is filed under the name Alloprevotella tannerae. Its description in RNAcentral is "bacterial SSU rRNA". It matches the Rfam family "Bacterial small subunit ribosomal RNA", at positions 28 to 776 of the family's 1533-position model. The record is from RNAcentral. Lineage: Bacteria; Pseudomonadati; Bacteroidota; Bacteroidia; Bacteroidales; Prevotellaceae.
GAUGAACGCUAGCUACAGGCUUAACACAGCAAGUCGUGGGGCAGCGGAUACUAGCUUGCUAAGUAUGCCGGCGACCGGCGCACGGGUGAGUAACGCGUACCGAACCUGCCCAUCACACAGAGAUAGGCUUGCGAGAGCAAGAUUAAUACCUGAUGGUCUCAGUUGUAUGCAUGUAUAAUUGAGUAAAGCCUUCGGGCGGUGAUGGAGGCGGUGCGUCCCAUUAGGAAGUGGCGGGGUAACGGCCCACCAAUCCUUCGAUGGGUAGGGGUUCUGAGAGGAAGGUCCCCCACAUGGAACUGAGAUACGGUCCAAACUCCUACGGGAGGCAGCAGUGAGGAAUAUUGGUCAAUGGGCGAGAGCCUGAACCAGCCAAGUAGCGUGCGGGAUGAAGGCCCUUGUGGUCGUAAACCGCUUUUAUCAGUGAAUAAAGUGCAUCACGUGUGGUGUCAUUGCAGGUAGCUGAAGAAAAAGGACCGGCUAAUUCCGUGCCAGCAGCCGCGGUAAUACGGAAGGUCCGGGCGUUAUCCGGAAUUAUUGGGUUUAAAGGGAGCGCAGGCGGGAGUAUAAGUCAGCUGUUAAAUAUCAGAGCCCAACUCUGUUAUGCAGUUGAAACUAUAUUUCUUGAGUACGCACAGGGAUGGCGGAAUUCAGGGUGUAGCGGUGAAAUGCUUAGAUAUCCUGAAGAACUCCGAUCGCGAAGGCAGCCAUCCGGAGCGUAACUGACGCUGAGGCUCGAAGGUGCGGGUAUCGAACAGG